GUCUUAAUUGGGCGUUAAGUUGCAGGGUAUAGACCCGAAACCCGGUGAUCUAGCCAUGGGCAGGUUGAAGGUUGGGUAACACUAACUGGAGGACCGAACCGACUAAUGUUGAAAAAUUAGCGGAUGACCUGUGGCUGGGGGUGAAAGGCCAAUCAAACCGGGAGAUAGCUGGUUCUCCCCGAAAGCUAUUUAGGUAGCGCCUCGUGAAUUCAUCUCCGGGGGUAGAGCACUGUUUCGGCUAGGGGGCCAUCCCGGCUUACCAACCCGAUGCAAACUGCGAAUACCGGAGAAUGUUAUCACGGGAGACACACGGCGGGUGCUAACGUCCGUCGUGAAGAGGGAAACAACCCAGACCGCCAGCUAAGGUCCCAAAGUCAUGGUUAAGUGGGAAACGAUGUGGGAAGGCCCAGACAGCCAGGAUGUUGGCUUAGAAGCAGCCAUCAUUUAAAGAAAGCGUAAUAGCUCACUGGUCGAGUCGGCCUGCGCGGAAGAUGUAACGGGGCUAAACCAUGCACCGAAGCUGCGGCAGCGACACUCAGGUGUUGUUGGGUAGGGGAGCGUUCUGUAAGCCUGCGAAGGUGGCCUGUGAGGGUUGCUGGAGGUAUCAGAAGUGCGAAUGCUGACAUAAGUAACGAUAAAGCGGGUGAAAAGCCCGCUCGCCGGAAGACCAAGGGUUCCUGUCCAACGUUAAUCGGGGCAGGGUGAGUCGACCCCUAAGGCGAGGCCGAAAGGCGUAGUCGAUGGGAAACGGGUUAAUAUUCCCGUACUUGGUGUUACUGCGAAGGGGGGACGGAGAAGGCUAUGUUGGCCGGGCGACGGUUGUCCCGGUUUAAGCGUGUAGGUGUGUGUUCCAGGUAAAUCCGGUUCACUUUAACACUGAGGCGUGAUGACGAGGCACUACGGUGCUGAAGCAACAAAUGCCCUGCUUCCAGGAAAAGCCUCUAAGCAUCAGGUAACAUCAAAUCGUACCCCAAACCGACACAGGUGGUCAGGUAGAGAAUACCAAGGCGCUUGAGAGAACUCGGGUGAAGGAACUAGGCAAAAUGGUGCCGUAACUUCGGGAGAAGGCACGCUGACACGUAGGUGAAGUGAUUUACUCAUGGAGCUGAAGUCAGUCGAAGAUACCAGCUGGCUGCAACUGUUUAUUAAAAACACAGCACUGUGCAAACACGAAAGUGGACGUAUACGGUGUGACGCCUGCCCGGUGCCGGAAGGUUAAUUGAUGGGGUCAGCGCAAGCGAAGCUCCUGAUCGAAGCCCCGGUAAACGGCGGCCGUAACUAUAACGGUCCUAAGGUAGCGAAAUUCCUUGUCGGGUAAGUUCCGACCUGCACGAAUGGCGUAAUGAUGGCCAGGCUGUCUCCACCCGAGACUCAGUGAAAUUGAACUCGCUGUGAAGAUGCAGUGUACCCGCGGCAAGACGGAAAGACCCCGUGAACCUUUACUAUAGCUUGACACUGAACAUUGAGCCUUGAUGUGUAGGAUAGGUGGGAGGCUUUGAAGUGUGGACGCCAGUCUGCAUGGAGCCGACCUUGAAAUACCACCCUUUAAUGUUUGAUGUUCUAACGUGGACCCGUGAUCCGGGUUGCGGACAGUGUCUGGUGGGUAGUUUGACUGGGGCGGUCUCCUCCUAAAGAGUAACGGAGGAGCACGAAGGUUGGCUAAUCCUGGUCGGACAUCAGGAGGUUAGUGCAAUGGCAUAAGCCAGCUUGACUGCGAGCGUGACGGCGCGAGCAGGUGCGAAAGCAGGUCAUAGUGAUCCGGUGGUUCUGAAUGGAAGGGCCAUCGCUCAACGGAUAAAAGGUACUCCGGGGAUAACAGGCUGAUACCGCCCAAGAGUUCAUAUCGACGGCGGUGUUUGGCACCUCGAUGUCGGCUCAUCACAUCCUGGGGCUGAAGUAGGUCCCAAGGGUAUGGCUGUUCGCCAUUUAAAGUGGUACGCGAGCUGGGUUUAGAACGUCGUGAGACAGUUCGGUCCCUAUCUGCCGUGGGCGCUGGAGAACUGAGGGGGGCUGCUCCUAGUACGAGAGGACCGGAGUGGACGCAUCACUGGUGUUCGGGUUGUCAUGCCAAUGGCACUGCCCGGUAGCUAAAUGCGGAAGAGAUAAGUGCUGAAAGCAUCUAAGCACGAAACUUGCCCCGAGAUGAGUUCUCCCUGAGACUUUAGGUCUCCUGAAGGAACGUUGAAGACGACGACGUUGAUAGGCCGGGUGUGUAAGCGCAGCGAUGCGUUGAGCUAACCGGUACUAAUGAACCGUGAGGCUUAACCUU
This 2269-nucleotide ribosomal RNA is filed under the name Salmonella enterica subsp. enterica serovar Kaapstad. Its description in RNAcentral is "partial 23S ribosomal RNA". It matches the Rfam family "Bacterial large subunit ribosomal RNA", at positions 681 to 2925 of the family's 2925-position model. Lineage: Bacteria; Pseudomonadati; Pseudomonadota; Gammaproteobacteria; Enterobacterales; Enterobacteriaceae. The record is from RNAcentral.